This 492-nucleotide ribosomal RNA is filed under the name uncultured bacterium. RNAcentral describes it as "partial 16S ribosomal RNA". It matches the Rfam family "Bacterial small subunit ribosomal RNA", at positions 29 to 507 of the family's 1533-position model. The record is from RNAcentral.
AGUGAACGCUGGCGGUAGGCCUAACACAUGCAAGUCGAACGGCAGCACAGUAAGAGCUUGCUCUUACGGGUGGCGAGUGGCGGACGGGUGAGGAAUACAUCGGAAUCUACUUUUUCGUGGGGGAUAACGUAGGGAAACUUACGCUAAUACCGCAUAUGACCUACGGGUGAAAGCAGGGGAUCUUCGGACCUUGCGCGAUUGAAUGAGCCGAUGUCGGAUUAGCUAGUUGGCGGGGUAAAGGCCCACCAAGGCGACGAUCCGUAGCUGGUCUGAGAGGAUGAUCAGCCACACUGGAACUGAGACACGGUCCAGACUCCUACGGGAGGCAGCAGUGGGGAAUAUUGGACAAUGGGCGCAAGCCUGAUCCAGCCAUACCGCGUGGGUGAAGAAGGCCUUCGGGUUGUAAAGCCCUAUUGUUGGGAAAGAAAAGCAGCAGGUUAAUACCCCGCUGUUCUGACGGUACCCAAAGAAUAAGCACCGGCUAACUUCGUG